AAGAUGCAUUUUGUGAUGGGUAUUUGGGUAUUUGUCUGCCAUAAUUUUGCAUAGCACAAAAUGUGCAAAAUCAUGAUACAGCAAUGAGAUGCUAAAAGAGAUUAAUGGCAGUGUGCAGCGACCCUGCGGUUAUACCUACGCUGGUUAACUUCAAUAAAAUAGCAUGGCUAUGAAUCUAACAGAUACACAAGGAAUUCAGAAAAAUACUAUGGUUGAAACAAGUCAAGUUUUUUUCUUUUUUUCCCCCUCUAUAAAGCCACUCAAACACAUUCAAGGUCAAUAAAUAACAGUGACCCCCUCUAGUAAUUGCAUCACCUCUGUCUCUGAAUUCAGAUGGUAGUUGCCAUAGGUAUGAGCACAGAUGUUAGUCAAAACUCUGAAGACCUGAGGAAAGCAUCUGGAAUGAAGAGUUGAGAGCGCUGCUACCACACCAGCCGGCGGAAGAAGGAUGUUAUCCGCAGGCUGAAGUUAAAGGCCGGAAAUCCCCGCUGAUAAUAAGCUAUGACACGUGUUCUGAGCUACGGCUUUGCUGAUGAUGAAAGAGCUAAGGAUGGAACCAUAGAGUGGGGGUAUUAAAAAAAACAUCAAAUAAAACAAUGCUUUGUGUUCCAAAUGA
Molecule: long non-coding RNA, 616 nt
Organism: Anguilla rostrata (American eel)
Lineage: Eukaryota; Metazoa; Chordata; Actinopteri; Anguilliformes; Anguillidae
Exons: 2
Source: RefSeq, a predicted model, not a curated record